This 1374-nucleotide ribosomal RNA is filed under the name uncultured bacterium. RNAcentral describes it as "bacterial SSU rRNA". It matches the Rfam family "Bacterial small subunit ribosomal RNA", at positions 28 to 1381 of the family's 1533-position model. The record is from RNAcentral.
GAUGAACGCUGGCGGCGUGCCUAAUACAUGCAAGUCGAGCGAACAGAUAAGGAGCUUGCUCCUUUGAAGUUAGCGGCGGACGGGUGAGUAACACGUGGGUAACCUACCUAUAAGACUGGGAUAACUUCGGGAAACCGGAGCUAAUACCGGAUAACAUUUAGAACCGCAUGGUUCUAAAGUGAAAGAUGGUUUUGCUAUCACUUAUAGAUGGACCCGCGCCGUAUUAGCUAGUUGGUAAGGUAACGGCUUACCAAGGCGACGAUACGUAGCCGACCUGAGAGGGUGAUCGGCCACACUGGAACUGAGACACGGUCCAGACUCCUACGGGAGGCAGCAGUAGGGAAUCUUCCGCAAUGGGCGAAAGCCUGACGGAGCAACGCCGCGUGAGUGAUGAAGGGUUUCGGCUCGUAAAACUCUGUUAUUAGGGAAGAACAAAUGUGUAAGUAACUGUGCACAUCUUGACGGUACCUAAUCAGAAAGCCACGGCUAACUACGUGCCAGCAGCCGCGGUAAUACGUAGGUGGCAAGCGUUAUCCGGAAUUAUUGGGCGUAAAGCGCGCGUAGGCGGUUUCUUAAGUCUGAUGUGAAAGCCCACGGCUCAACCGUGGAGGGUCAUUGGAAACUGGGAAACUUGAGUGCAGAAGAGGAAAGUGGAAUUCCAUGUGUAGCGGUGAAAUGCGCAGAGAUAUGGAGGAACACCAGUGGCGAAGGCGACUUUCUGGUCUGUAACUGACGCUGAUGUGCGAAAGCGUGGGGAUCAAACAGGAUUAGAUACCCUGGUAGUCCACGGCGGUAAACGAUGAGUGCUAAGUGUUAGGGGGUUUCCGCCCCUUAGUGCUGCAGCUAACGCAUUAAGCACUCCGCCUGGGGAGUACGACCGCAAGGUUGAAACUUCAAAGGAAUUGACGGGGACCCGCACAAGCGGUGGAGCAUGUGGUUUAAUUUGAAGCAACGCGAAGAACCUUACCAAAUCUUGACAUCCUUUGAAAACUCUAGAGAUAGAGCCUUCCCCUUCGGGGGACAAAGUGACAGGUGGUGCAUGGUUGUCGUCAGCUCGUGUCGUGAGAUGUUGGGUUAAGUCCCGCAACGAGCGCAACCCUUAAGCUUAGUUGCCAUCAUUAAGUUGGGCACUCUAGGUUGACUGCCGGUGACAAACCGGAGGAAGGUGGGGAUGACGUCAAAUCAUCAUGCCCCUUAUGAUUUGGGCUACACACGUGCUACAAUGGACAAUACAAAGGGCAGCUAAACCGCGAGGUCAUGCAAAUCCCAUAAAGUUGUUCUCAGUUCGGAUUGUCGUCUGCAACUCGACUACAUGAAGCUGGAAUCGCUAGUAAUCGUAGAUCAGCAUGCUACGGUGAAUACGUUCCCGGGUCU